This 727-nucleotide ribosomal RNA is filed under the name uncultured Bacilli bacterium. RNAcentral describes it as "bacterial SSU rRNA". It matches the Rfam family "Bacterial small subunit ribosomal RNA", at positions 52 to 752 of the family's 1533-position model. Lineage: Bacteria; Bacillati; Bacillota; Bacilli. The record is from RNAcentral.
AGCGAGCUUGCCUAGAUGAAUUUGGUGCUUGCACCAAAUGAAACUAGAUACAAGCGAGCGGCGGACGGGUGAGUAACACGUGGGUAACCUGCCCAAGAGACUGGGAUAACACCUGGAAACAGAUGCUAAUACCGGAUAACAACACUAGACGCAUGUCUAGAGUUUAAAAGAUGGUUCUGCUAUCACUCUUGGAUGGACCUGCGGUGCAUUAGCUAGUUGGUAAGGUAACGGCUUACCAAGGCAAUGAUGCAUAGCCGAGUUGAGAGACUGAUCGGCCACAUUGGGACUGAGACACGGCCCAAACUCCUACGGGAGGCAGCAGUAGGGAAUCUUCCACAAUGGACGCAAGUCUGAUGGAGCAACGCCGCGUGAGUGAAGAAGGGUUUCGGCUCGUAAAGCUCUGUUGGUAGUGAAGAAAGAUAGAGGUAGUAACUGGCCUUUAUUUGACGGUAAUUACUUAGAAAGUCACGGCUAACUACGUGCCAGCAGCCGCGGUAAUACGUAGGUGGCAAGCGUUGUCCGGAUUUAUUGGGCGUAAAGCGAGUGCAGGCGGUUCAAUAAGUCUGAUGUGAAAGCCUUCGGCUCAACCGGAGAAUUGCAUCAGAAACUGUUGAACUUGAGUGCAGAAGAGGAGAGUGGAACUCCAUGUGUAGCGGUGGAAUGCGUAGAUAUAUGGAAGAACACCAGUGGCGAAGGCGGCUCUCUGGUCUGCAACUGACGCUGAGGC